UACGGGGGGUGCGAGCGUUGUCCGGAAUCACUGGGCGUAAAGGGCGCGUAGGUGGUUUGAUAAGGGUGUGGUGAAAGCCCGGGGCUCAACUCCAGAACUGCCUUCGAUACUGGCGAUCUUGAGCCCGGAAGAGGUGAGUGGAACUCCUAGUGUAGAGGUGGAAUUCGUAGAUAUUAGGAAGAACACCAGUGA
Molecule: ribosomal RNA, 192 nt
Filed under: uncultured prokaryote
Description: partial 16S ribosomal RNA
Rfam family: Bacterial small subunit ribosomal RNA
Source: RNAcentral